RNAcentral lists this ribosomal RNA (426 nucleotides) under uncultured bacterium. Its description in RNAcentral is "bacterial SSU rRNA". It matches the Rfam family "Bacterial small subunit ribosomal RNA", at positions 354 to 796 of the family's 1533-position model. The record is from RNAcentral.
GUGAGGAAUUUUCCGCAAUGGGCGAAAGCCUGACGGAGCAAUGUCGCGUGAAGGAUGAAGGCCUAUGGGUUGUAAACUUCUUUUCUCAGAAAAGAAUUAUGACGGUAUCUGAGGAAUAAGCAUCGGCUAACUCUGUGCCAGCAGCCGCGGUAAGACAGAGGAUGCAAGCGUUAUCCGGAAUGAUUGGGCGUAAAGCGUCUGUAGGUUGUUUAAAAAGUAUUCUGUCAAAGAUUAGGGCUUAACCCUAGAUAGGCAGAAUAAACUUUUAAGCUAGAGUUUGGUAGAGGCAGAGGGAAUUCCCGGUGGAGCGGUGAAAUGCGUAGAUAUCGGGAGGAACACCAAAGGCGAAGGCACUCUGCUGGGCCAAUACUAACACUGAGAGACGAAAGCGAGGGGAGCAAAUGGGAUUAGAAACCCGGGUAGUCC